GACGAACGCUGGCGGCGUGCUUAACACAUGCAAGUCGAACGCUGAACCCGCUUCGGUGGGGGAUGAGUGGCGAACGGGUGCGUAACACGUGGGCAACCUGCCCCCGGCUCUGGGAUAACUCCAAGAAAUUGGGGCUAAUACCGGAUGUGACCGCUGGCCGCAUGGUCUGGUGGUGGAAAGGGUUUCCGGCUGGGGAUGGGCCAGCGGCCUAUCAGCUUGUUGGUGGGGUAGUGGCCUACCAAGGAGACGACGGGUAGCCGGCCUGAGAGGGUGACCGGCCACACUGGGACUGAGACACGGCCCAGACUCCUACGGGAGGCAGCAGUGGGGAAUAUUGCGCAAUGGGCGGAAGCCUGACGCAGCGACGCCGCGUUGGGGAUGACGGCCUUCGGGUUGUAAACCUCUUUCAGCAGGGACGAAGCGCAAGUGAUGGUACCUGCAGAAGAAGCACCGGCCAACUACGUG
RNAcentral lists this ribosomal RNA (465 nucleotides) under uncultured bacterium. Its description in RNAcentral is "partial 16S ribosomal RNA". It matches the Rfam family "Bacterial small subunit ribosomal RNA", at positions 28 to 507 of the family's 1533-position model. The record is from RNAcentral.